AGAGUUUGAUCCUGGCUCAGAAUCAACGCUGGCGGCGUGCCUAACACAUGCAAGUCGAACGAGAAAGGGAUCCUUCGGGAACCUGAGUAAAGUGGCGAACGGGUGAGUAACACGUGGGUGACCUGCCCUCUGGAGGGGGAUAACCCGAGGAAACUCGUGCUAAGACCGCAUAAGCCUUCGAGGUCAAAUUCAAAGGGAAAAGGAUUUAGCUUUCGAGCUAGAUCCUACCGGAGGAGGGGCCCGCGUCCCAUUAGCUAGUUGGUGGGGUAAAAGCCUACCAAGGCUACGAUGGGUAGCCGGUCUGAGAGGACGGACGGCCACACUGGAACUGAGACACGGUCCAGACUCCUACGGGAGGCAGCAGUGGGGAAUCUUGGGCAAUGGGCGAAAGCCUGACCCAGCAACGCCGCGUGGAGGAUGAAGGCCCUCGGGUCGUAAACUCCUGUCCUAGGGGAAGAAAAAAAUGACGGUACCCUUGGAGGAAGCCCCGGCUAACUCCGUGCCAGCAGCCGCGGUAAGACGGGGGGGGCGAGCGUUGUUCGGAAUUACUGGGCGUAAAGGGCGCGCAGGCGGCUUG
Molecule: ribosomal RNA, 577 nt
Filed under: uncultured deep-sea bacterium
Lineage: Bacteria
Description: bacterial SSU rRNA
Rfam family: Bacterial small subunit ribosomal RNA
Source: RNAcentral